Molecule: ribosomal RNA, 384 nt
Filed under: uncultured bacterium
Lineage: Bacteria
Description: bacterial SSU rRNA
Rfam family: Bacterial small subunit ribosomal RNA
Source: RNAcentral
AUUGAACGCUGGCGGUAGGCCUAACACAUGCAAGUCGAACGCGAAAGUCCUUCGGGAUGAGUAGAGUGGCGGACGGGUGAGUAACGCGUAGGAAUCUAUCCUGUAGUGGGGAUAACGUUUCGAAAGGAACGCUAAUACCGCAUACGCCCCACGGGGGAAAGCGGGGGAUCUUCGGACCUCGUGCUAUAGGAGGAGCCUGCGUCGGAUUAGCUAGUUGGUGAGGUAAAGGCUCACCAAGGCGACGAUCCGUAGCUGGUCUGAGAGGAUGAUCAGCCACACCGGAACUGAGACACGGUCCGGACUCCUACGGGAGGCAGCAGUGGGGAAUAUUGCGCAAUGGGCGAAAGCCUGACGCAGCCAUACCGCGUGUGUGAAGAAGGCCUU